UCGGGAAUUUUGGGCAAUGGGCGCAAGCCUGAUCCAGCGACGCCGCGUGUGUGAAGAAGGCCUGCGGGUUGUAAAGCUCUUUUGUCAGGGAAGAAACGGUAGUAGCGAAUAACUACUACUAAUGACGGUACCUGAAGAAUAAGCACCGGCUAACUACGUGCCAGCAGCCGCGGUAAUACGUAGGGUGCAAGCGUUAAUCGGAAUUACUGGGCGUAAAGCGUGCGCAGGCGGUUGUGUAAGUCAGAUGUGAAAUCCCCGGGCUCAACCUGGGAAUUGCAUUUGAGACUGCACGGCUAGAGUGUGUCAGAGGGGGGUAGAAUUCCACGUGUAGCAGUGAAAUGCGUAGAUAUGUGGAGGAAUACCGAUGGCGAAGGCAGCCCCCUGGGAUAACACUGACGCUCAUGCACGAAAGCGUGGGGAGCAAACAGGAUUAGAUACCCCUGUAGUCCCUGAGCGGGCUGGCAAGGCGCAU
Molecule: ribosomal RNA, 472 nt
Filed under: uncultured bacterium
Lineage: Bacteria
Description: bacterial SSU rRNA
Rfam family: Bacterial small subunit ribosomal RNA
Source: RNAcentral